This is a non-coding RNA of Podarcis lilfordi (Lilford's wall lizard), 76 nucleotides long. NCBI's taxonomy places the organism in Eukaryota, Metazoa, Chordata, Lepidosauria, Squamata, Lacertidae. The record is from the annotation of a GenBank genome assembly.
UUUGUGUGUGUGUGUGUGUGUGUGUGUACACACACACACACACACUUUUACACACACACACACACACACACACAUA